UAAUUAGACUCAACACAAGAUUUUCUCUCGUAUACGUAGGAUUAGGAAGAAACAAGGUUUAACAAACAAUUUCGUCGCUUUUUCUACGAAGACCAGUCGUGACUUGUGGGUGGUACCCGCGAAAUUCAAGCUCCAGAAGCCUGGCGACUAUUGCAGCAGAGAUUUGAUUCAACUUCUAGAAAUGGGCUUCCUUGGAGUUUGGUUUAGUUAAUGAAAGGUAUUAUUUCCCCUCGUGUUCUUCGGUAGCUUUCAGAGAGACGAAAGCUGAAGUUGAGAAUUGAGAUCGUCUCCGUAUGCGCGUUUGUAUGGUCGCUAUCGUCUGCAACUCGAAGGAGAGAUAGAGGUCUGUGCUUAAAGUUUCAAGCUUACCUUCAUUGACGGAGAAAAUUCAGAAAACGGGAAUUUUUUUUUUCUGUCCCGUUCAUUGCUAUUUAUAAGGCGUUUGGAUAUGAGAUGGAAACAUUCCGGUGUUUGACAAGUGGGUUUGAGGGUUCAAGGGCUGUCUUUUUCUGGGAUUCUCUUGUUUGAGGGACAGAGAUUUCGCUUGAGAUUACAGUUAGUAAACCAAAGGGUGGUGUUGCAGUUCGGACAAUUAGCUUUGUUUUGUCUGUAUCUUGAGGACAUUCUUUUCUUUUUUAAUUUUUGGGUGGUACAUUUGGAGAACUCCUUGGAUCUUUCUGGAUUUUGCUCCCUUUUCUGUCUCUGAAGCAGUUCCCAUUUUUUUUUUUCUGGAUUAUAUUUUAUUUUUUCUUCCGGGGCCUGAGUUUGUUUCUGUGCUGUGUCUCUGAGUCUCUGCUCUUAGCAGUUGAUUGGUGCCUUGGUGGGUGUUCUGUUAAAAAAGUUGGUUUUUUGGGGGAUUUUGGUUCUGGGAAUUGGUGGGAGGUAGUCCUUCUUUUAGGAAUAGGAGCUACAUUUUAUUGGGAGUUUUUUUUUCUGGUGGAAUUGGCAGCAGAGCUAUAAGAUGAGUGAUGGAAGAAGAAAGAAGCUACAUUUCAGCAAGAUCUAUUCUUUCGCCUGUGGGAAAGCAUCGUUCAAGGACGACCUUUCUCAGAUUGGUGGUCCGGGCUUCUCGAGGUUGGUAUUCUGCAAUGAACCAGAUUGUUCUGAGGCCACUUCACGCAAUUAUGGAGGGAAUUAUGUUAGAACAACAAAGUAUACACUCGCCACGUUCUUCCCCAAGUCCUUGUUCGAGCAGUUCAGGAGGGUCGCUAACAUGUACUUCCUAGUCGUUGGCUGCUUGUCCUUCACUCCGCUUGCUCCUUACGCUGCAGUCAGUGCCAUUAUUCCUCUUAUCAUUGUGAUUGGGGCUACCAUGAUCAAAGAGGCUAUUGAAGACUGGAGGAGAAAGAAACAGGACAUUGAGGUGAACAACCGGAAGGUUAAGGUGCAUUGUGGCAAUGGCAUUUUUAACUAUACCGAAUGGAAGAAUCUGAGAGUUGGAGAUAUAGUGAAAGUAGAGAAGGAUUCUUUUUUUCCAGCUGACUUAUUAUUGCUUUCAUCCAGUUAUGGUGAUGCCAUUUGCUAUGUUGAGACCAUGAACCUUGAUGGGGAGACAAAUUUGAAACUAAAACAGGCACUGGAGGUGACUUCAGGCUUAAAUGAGGAUUCCAGCUUCCAGGAUUUCAAGGCACUUGUUAAAUGUGAAGAUCCAAAUGUGAACCUGUAUACUUUUGUUGGAAGCAUGGAUGUGAAGGAGCAACAAUUUCCCCUUAGUCCUCAGCAACUUCUCCUCAGGGACUCAAAGCUUCGGAAUACAGACUACAUCUACGGGGCUGUUGUUUUUACAGGUCAUGACACUAAAGUUAUUCAAAAUUCCACUGAGCCCCCAUCAAAGAGAAGUAAAAUUGAGAAGAAGAUGGAUAAAAUUGUCUACUUCUUGUUUUGCACUUUGUUUUUAAUGGCUUUGAUUGGGUCAAUUUUCUUUGGGAUUACAACUAAUGAGGACCUGGGAAAUGGCUGGAUGAAAAGGUGGUAUCUUAGACCUGAUGAUUCAACCAUCUACUUUGAUCCCAAGAAAGCACCCACUGCAGCUGUUCUGCAUUUUUUGACUGCAUUGAUGUUAUACAAUUCCUUGAUUCCUAUCUCCUUGUAUGUAUCAAUAGAAAUUGUCAAAGUUCUGCAGAGCAUCUUUAUCAACAAUGAUCUGCACAUGUACUAUGAGGAAGCUGACAAGCCUGCACGGGCCCGCACCUCCAAUUUGAAUGAGGAACUUGGCCAAGUUGACACCAUACUUUCUGAUAAGACUGGAACACUCACCUGCAACUCCAUGGAAUUUGUUAAAUGUUCUGUGGCCGGCACAGCUUAUGGCCAUGGGGUCACAGAGGUCGAGAGGGCUAUGGCUAGAAGAAAAGGAUCACCUUUGGUUCAUGAGGUGGAAGAUGGAAGGAAUGAUGUUGAAGAUCCUGCUUCAGCAAAACCAUUGAUUAAAGGCUUCAAUUUUAAGGAUAAAAGGAUCAUGAAUGGAAAAUGGGUUAAUGAGGCGCACUCAGAUGUCAUUGAGAAGUUCCUACGUUUAUUGGCAAUCUGCCACACAGCCAUACCUGAAGUGGAUGAAGAGACAGGGAAAAUCUCCUAUGAAGCCGAAUCACCGGAUGAGGCAGCCUUUGUGAUUGCAGCAAGAGAACUUGGAUUUACAUUUUACAAUAGAACACAAACAAGCAUCUCACUGCAUGAGUUAGAUCCUGUGUCUGGAAAACAGGUUGAAAGGUCAUAUAAACUCUUGAAUAUAUUAGAGUUUAAUAGCUCAAGAAAGCGGAUGUCUGUGAUAGUACAAAAUGAAGAGGGAAAGCUGUUACUACUUUGCAAAGGUGCUGACAGUGUUAUGUUUGAGAGGCUUGCAAAGAAUGGAAGGAAAUUUGAAGAGCAGACUAGGGAUCACAUGAAUGAGUAUGCUGAUGCAGGCUUGAGGACCUUGAUACUUGCUUAUCGUGAACUUAGUGAGGAAGAAUACAAGGCGUUCAAUGAGGAAUUUACCGAAGCCAAGAAUUCAGUCAGUGCAGAUCGGGAUGAAAUGGUUGAUGAAGUGGCAGAGAAGAUUGAGAAAGAUUUGAUUCUUCUUGGUGCUACCGCUGUAGAGGACAAACUCCAAAAUGGGGUUCCACAGUGCAUUGACAAGCUUGCGCAAGCUGGAAUUAAAAUAUGGGUUUUAACUGGAGAUAAGAUGGAGACUGCCAUCAACAUUGGCUUUGCCUGUAGUUUGCCAAGGCAAGGAAUGAAGCAGAUAAUUAUCAAUUUGGAAACACCAGAAAUUAAAGCAUUGGAAAAAGAGGGGCAAAAGUUUGCAAUUGCCAAGGCUUCAAAGGCAAGUGUUGUGAAUCAGAUAAAUGAAGGGAAGGCACAGCUCACUGCAUCAAAUGGCAACAGUACAUAUGCUUUGAUCAUUGAUGGAAAGUCACUUGCCUAUGCUCUUGAGGAUGAUAUCAAAAGCAAGUUUUUAGAGUUGGCAAUUGGUUGUGCAUCCGUUAUCUGCUGUCGUUCAUCACCAAAGCAGAAGGCACUUGUUACACGACUAGUUAAACGUGGAACAGGUAAGACAAUAUUAGCAAUUGGUGAUGGGGCCAAUGAUGUGGGGAUGCUUCAAGAAGCAGAUAUUGGAAUUGGUAUUAGUGGUGUCGAAGGGAUGCAGGCUGUCAUGUCUAGUGACAUUGCAAUUGCUCAGUUCCAAUACUUGGAACGUUUGCUACUUGUACACGGGCAUUGGUGUUACAGAAGGAUCUCAUCGAUGAUCUGCUACUUCUUCUACAAAAACAUUACAUACGGUUUUACCCUCUUCUUGUUUGAAGCUUAUGCAUCAUUCUCUGGGCAACCUGCAUAUAAUGAUUGGUAUAUGUCUCUUUAUAAUGUCUUCUUCACAUCACUUCCAGUGGUUGCCCUUGGUGUGUUUGAUCAGGAUGUCUCAGCAAGGCUUUGUUUAAAGUUCCCUCUACUAUACCAAGAAGGUGUGCAAAAUGUCCUAUUCAGCUGGUGCCGAAUUCUGAGCUGGAUGUUUAAUGGAGUUUGCAGUUCCAUAAUCAUUUUCUUCUUCUGCACAAGUGCAUUGGAGCAUCAAGCAUUUCGCAAAGGAGGUGAGGUUGUUGGGUUGGGGAUCCUGGGUACAACUAUGUACUCAUGUGUCAUUUGGGUUGUGAACUGCCAGAUGGCCCUCUCUGUCAGUUAUUUCACCCUAAUACAGCAUAUCUUCAUCUGGGGUGGAAUCAUACUAUGGUAUCUCUUCCUCUUGGUCUAUGGGGCUAUGUCCCCCACCAUAUCCACCACUGCCUACAAGGUCUUCAUUGAAGCCUGUGCCCCAGCCCUCUCCUACUGGCUUGUCAUACUUUUUGUGGUAAUCUCCAGCCUCGUCCCUUACUUUUCAUACUCAGCUAUCCAGAUGCGGUUCUUCCCGAUGUACCAUGAGACAAUACAAUGGACAAGACUGGAGGGGAGAUCUGAGAACCCCGAGUAUUGCAAUGUGGCGCCACAAAUAUCUUUACAGCCCACAACAGUAGGCUUUACAUCACAGGUAGAAKAGAAAAGAAAUCACUAGAAACAUAAUUUAAGUCCAUAGAAAAAAUUGUAAAGAUUUUUAUGGAUUUUUGGCCCUUGGAUGCAGAGGUGAUUUGUAAGCCAAAUUUCUGCACAUUGUAUAUCUUCUCCAAGUUCGCUGAUACUGUCAUCUUCUCCAAGUGGAUUACAGUCAAACCUAGAACCUCUCGUACUAUUGUUGCGAGCAGAAGUCUAAAAGCUAGAAACUCAAGAAUUCAUAGCUAUCCAUUUCACAGAAUUGGCAAGAUCAUUUGUUGUAGUGCUGUACAAGAGUGGAGAAAUACAUUCUACUCAUGUUUAUUGGGAGAAAGGUUAUGGGCUUGCUCUUUCACAACCUUAAGGGGUAAUUGAUGAGGGUCAAACUAACCACCAACAGGAUUGUGACACGUGGCUACAUAAAAAGAUUUGAUAACACCUCGGAUACCAUAAAUUGUGGUUAGCUAUGAGGUCUCUCAAUGACAUCUUUCUUAGGCCAGCUUGGUAGAAGCACAUUCCUACCGAGCUGAGCUGUGGUCAAAAGAAACACACCUUGCCAAGCUGAGCUCACAUCAGAAGAAGCACAACCAAGCAAAUCCAUGUGUGAUAAACAACAGCCACUUGGCGAUACGAUCAUCCAAUUUACCCACUCUGGUAGAGAGGGGUGCCCAGACUUUCUCCAUGUACAUUAAACAUGUCUUUCAAAUCUAACAGGUGUCCUCCCACAGGUUGUCACCAGACUCACCACGUGUUGAUCCACAAGAUGAAUGUCCCAGCUUAUAUAAAGGUUCUCGCCUCGUCCUAGUUCGAGUCUCUGUCUGAGGAACCUGAUCAUCCUUUUUUUUCUGUUUGGUGGCUUUUGUCGUCAUCAGUAAUCAUCUGGAAAUCAGCAGUUUCCAGGUGUCAUGAUUAUGUUAAGAGACAAUUAUCCCUUUACUCCAAAUAUAAGAGAGUUUUGUAUGAUUAAGUUUGUGAGUGCAUUUUGGCCAUCAUCUCCGGUUACUGGCAACAUGCUAUUAUCAAUUGUCAAGCCUUAUGAUGCGGUGAUUUAGGGGUUUCUUAUAGUGUACUCUAUAUUUGUGUUGUGCGAGGAACUUUGUUCUGACUUGAUUGAGGUUGUUUGACAAAUCUGGUUUCAAGGACUUUGAACCCCUCUUUGAAGGUCAAGGCUCAUAGGAAGCAAUGGUGGUAUUCUUUGGGAGUGGGUUUCUUCAGGGAUUUAUAAGGAGGCUGUAAGUAAGAUAUCUUGGAUGUUAAAUAGCUGAUUGUACACUUUGGAUACAGAAUUCUUAUUAGCUAUUAUGCUAGGACGGGCUUAUUAAAGACUUUCUUAACAGUACCAUUCAGAACUUUGUGAGUGAUAUGCUGGUAAAGAAUUUCAUUAUAAUGUAAACAAGAAAAGAAUAUGUUACUAUGCAAUGCUGCCAUGAAUGAUUUUUCAGAAAAUGUAGGAUUGUUAAUAAGGGCCUGAUAAACAAGUCUCUUCUGCAAUAUAAUAUAAGGACUGGUUUCUUGUAA
Molecule: non-coding RNA, 6015 nt
Organism: Nelumbo nucifera (sacred lotus)
Lineage: Eukaryota; Viridiplantae; Streptophyta; Magnoliopsida; Proteales; Nelumbonaceae
Source: RefSeq, a predicted model, not a curated record